RNAcentral lists this ribosomal RNA (498 nucleotides) under uncultured bacterium. Its description in RNAcentral is "partial 16S ribosomal RNA". It matches the Rfam family "Bacterial small subunit ribosomal RNA", at positions 30 to 523 of the family's 1533-position model. The record is from RNAcentral.
AUUGAACGCUGGCGGCAUGCCUUACACAUGCAAGUCGAACGGUAACAGGUCUUCGGAUGCUGACGAGUGGCGAACGGGUGAGUAAUACAUCGGAACGUGCCUAGUAGUGGGGGAUAACUACUCGAAAGAGUGGCUAAUACCGCAUGAGAUCUACGGAUGAAAGCAGGGGAUCGCAAGACCUUGUGCUACUAGAGCGGCCGAUGGCAGAUUAGGUAGUUGGUGGGAUAAAAGCUUACCAAGCCGACGAUCUGUAGCUGGUCUGAGAGGACGAUCAGCCACACUGGGAUUGAGACACGGCCCAGACUCCUACGGGAGGCAGCAGUGGGGAAUUUUGGACAAUGGGCGCAAGCCUGAUCCAGCAAUGCCGCGUGCAGGAUGAAGGCCUUCGGGUUGUAAACUGCUUUUGUACGGAACGAAAAGCCCUGGGUUAAUACCCUGGGGUCAUGACGGUACCGUAAGAAUAAGCACCGGUUAACUACGUGCCAGCCGCCGCAGUAA